RNAcentral lists this ribosomal RNA (510 nucleotides) under uncultured bacterium. RNAcentral's name for it is "bacterial SSU rRNA". It matches the Rfam family "Bacterial small subunit ribosomal RNA", at positions 29 to 518 of the family's 1533-position model. The record is from RNAcentral.
AACGAACGCUGGCGGCGUGCUUAACACAUGCAAGUCGAACGCGAAAGGGACUUCGGUCCUGAGUAAAGUGGCGCACGGGUGAGUAACGCGUAGAUAACCUGUCUUCAUGUCUGGAAUAAUACGCCGAAAGGGGUACUAAUACCGGAUAUUCUUGCUUUUCAUAAGUUAUGCAAGCAAAGGUGGCCUCUGCAUAUGCUACUGCAUGAAGAGGGGUCUGCGUACCAUUGGCUAGUAGGUGGGGUAAUGGCCUACCUAGGCGACGAUGGUUAGCGGGUCUGAGAGGAUGAUCCGCCACACUGGCACUGGAACACGGGCCAGACUCCUACGGGAGGCAGCAGUGAGGAAUAUUGCGCAAUGGGGGAAACCCUGACGCAGCGACGCCGCGUGAGUGAGGAAGGCCUUCGGGUCGUAAAGCUCUGUCAAGAGGAAAGAAGUGUACAAUGGCUAAUACCUGUUGUAUUUGACGGUACCUCUAAAGGAAGCACCGGCUAACUCCGUGCCAGCCGCGGC